This 350-nucleotide unclassified non-coding RNA is filed under the name plant metagenome. RNAcentral's name for it is "partial contains 5.8S ribosomal RNA, internal transcribed spacer 2, and large subunit ribosomal RNA". The stretch from base 1 to 105 matches the Rfam family "5.8S ribosomal RNA", at positions 50 to 154 of the family's 154-position model. The record is from RNAcentral.
GAAAUGCGAUAAGUAGUGUGAAUUGCAGAAUUCAGUGAAUCAUCGAAUCUUUGAACGCACCUUGCGCUCCUUGGUAUUCCGAGGAGCAUGCCUGUUUGAGUGUCAUGGAAUUCUCAACUCUAUUUGCUUUUGUGAAUAGAGCUUGGAUUUGGCGGUUUAUUGCUGGUACUUGUGAUCGGCUCCUCUUGAAUGCAUUAGCUCGAACCUUUGCGGAUCAGCUAUCGGUGUGAUAAUUGUCUACGCCGUUGCAGUGAAGCAUAUCAAUGGGCUCGGCUUCCAAUCGUCCUUUACUGGACAAUGACUUUGACCUUUGACCUCAAAUCAGGUAGGAUUACCCGCUGAACUUAAGC